RNAcentral lists this ribosomal RNA (163 nucleotides) under Phialemonium obovatum. RNAcentral describes it as "partial small subunit ribosomal RNA". It matches the Rfam family "Eukaryotic small subunit ribosomal RNA", at positions 1639 to 1799 of the family's 1831-position model. Lineage: Eukaryota; Fungi; Ascomycota; Sordariomycetes; Cephalothecales; Cephalothecaceae. The record is from RNAcentral.
CGUUGAUUACGUCCCUACCCUUUGUACACACCGCCCGUCGCUACUACCGAUUGAAUGGCUCAGUGAGGCUUUCGGACUGGCCCAGGGAGGUCGGCAACGACCACCCAGGGCCGGAAAGUUAUCCAAACUCGGUCAUUUAGAGGAAGUAAAAGUCGUAACAAGG